GAUGAACGCUGGCGGCGUGCCUAAUACAUGCAAGUCGAGCGAACAGACGAGGAGCUUGCUCCUUCGACGUUAGCGGCGGACGGGUGAGUAACACGUAGGUAACCUACCUAUAAGACUGGGAUAACUUCGGGAAACCGGAGCUAAUACCGGAUAAUAUUUCGAACCGCAUGGUUCGAUAGUGAAAGAUGGCUUUGCUAUCACUUAUAGAUGGACCUGCGCCGUAUUAGCUAGUUGGUAAGGUAACGGCUUACCAAGGCAACGAUACGUAGCCGACCUGAGAGCGUGAUCGGCCACACUGGAACUGAGGCACGGUCCAGACUCCUACGGGGGGCAGCAGUAGGGAAUCUUCCGCAAUGGGCGAAAGCCUGACGGAGCAACGCCGCGUGAGUGAUGAAGGUCUUCGGAUCGUAAAACUCUGUUAUUAGGGAAGAACAAACGUGUAAGUAACUGUGCACGUCUUGACGGUACCUAAUCAGAAAGCCACGGCUAACUACGUG
This 497-nucleotide ribosomal RNA is filed under the name uncultured bacterium. Its description in RNAcentral is "partial 16S ribosomal RNA". It matches the Rfam family "Bacterial small subunit ribosomal RNA", at positions 28 to 507 of the family's 1533-position model. The record is from RNAcentral.